RNAcentral lists this ribosomal RNA (465 nucleotides) under Vreelandella stevensii. Its description in RNAcentral is "partial 16S ribosomal RNA". It matches the Rfam family "Bacterial small subunit ribosomal RNA", at positions 338 to 795 of the family's 1533-position model. Lineage: Bacteria; Pseudomonadati; Pseudomonadota; Gammaproteobacteria; Oceanospirillales; Halomonadaceae. The record is from RNAcentral.
CCUACGGGGGGCUGCAGUGGGGAAUAUUGGACAAUGGGGGCAACCCUGAUCCAGCCAUGCCGCGUGUGUGAAGAAGGCCCUCGGGUUGUAAAGCACUUUCAGUGAGGAAGAACGCCUGGUGGUUAAUACCCAUCAGGAAAGACAUCACUCACAGAAGAAGCACCGGCUAACUCCGUGCCAGCAGCCGCGGUAAUACGGAGGGUGCGAGCGUUAAUCGGAAUUACUGGGCGUAAAGCGCGCGUAGGUGGCUUGAUAAGCCGGUUGUGAAAGCCCCGGGCUCAACCUGGGAACGGCAUCCGGAACUGUCAAGCUAGAGUGCAGGAGAGGAAGGUAGAAUUCCCGGGGUAGCGGUGAAAUGCGUAGAGAUCGGGAGGAAUACCAGUGGCGAAGGCGGCCUUCUGGACUGACACUGACACUGAGGUGCGAAAGCGUGGGUAGCAAACAGGAUUAGAUACCCCUGUAGUC